RNAcentral lists this RNase P RNA (364 nucleotides) under Candidatus Merdinaster equi. RNAcentral's name for it is "RNase P RNA component class A". It matches the Rfam family "Bacterial RNase P class A". Rfam says of the family: Ribonuclease P (RNase P) is a ubiquitous endoribonuclease, found in archaea, bacteria and eukarya as well as chloroplasts and mitochondria. The record is from RNAcentral. Lineage: Bacteria; Bacillati; Bacillota; Clostridia; Lachnospirales; Lachnospiraceae.
UGAGUAGGCCAGAUGAUCGCGGCCAUAUCGUAAGGGUAUGGGUGAGGAAAGUCCGGGCUUCAGAGGGCAGGAUGCCGGAUAACGUCCGGUGGAGGUGACUCCCAGGAAAGUGCAACAGAAAUUAAACCGCCGGGUUUCCCGGUAAGGGUGAAAUGGCAGUGUAAGAGACUACCGCCCAUCUGGUAACAGAUGGGGCAUGUGUAAACCCCAUCCGAAGCAAGGCCAAAUAAGCGCCUGCGGGCGCGGGGGAGCAAUAGAUCUGCCCGAUCUGCUCCCAGGUAGGUCGCUUGAGAUUGUCGGUAACGGCAAUUCUAGAUAGAUGAUCAUCCAACGACAUAACCCGGCUUACCGGCCUACUCGUUUU